GUAGGUGGCAAGCGUUGUCCGGAAUUAUUGGGCGUAAAGCGCGCGCAGGCGGUUCUUUAAGUCUGAUGUGAAAGCCCACGGGCUCAACCGUGGAGGGUCAUUGGAAACUGGAGAACUUGAGUACAGAAGAGGAAAGCGGAAUUCCACGUGUAGCGGUGAAAUGCGUAGAGAUGUGGAGGAACACCAGUGGCGAAGGCGGCUUUCUGGUCUGUAACUGACGCUGAGGCGCGAAAGCGUGGGGAGCAAACAGGAUUAGAUACCCUGGUAGUCCACGCCGUAAACGAUGAGUGCUAAGUGUUAGGGGGUUUCCGCCCCUUAGUGCUGCAGCUAACGCAUUAAGCACUCCGCCUAGGGAGUACGGCCGCAAAGGCUG
This 373-nucleotide ribosomal RNA is filed under the name uncultured organism. Its description in RNAcentral is "partial 16S ribosomal RNA". It matches the Rfam family "Bacterial small subunit ribosomal RNA", at positions 527 to 896 of the family's 1533-position model. The record is from RNAcentral.